GAUGAACGCUAGCUACAGGCUUAACACAUGCAAGUCGAGGGGUAACGAGAGGAAAGCUUGCUUUCCUUGUCGACGACCGGCGCACGGGUGAGUAACGCGUAUCCAACCUGCCCCCAACUAGGGAAUAACCUUGCGAAAGUAAGACUAAUACCCUAUAAUUUCCUCAGAUGUCAUCUGACGAGGAAUAAAGAUUUAUCGGUUGUGGAUGGGGAUGCGUCUGAUUAGCUUGUUGGCGGGGUAACGGCCCACCAAGGCAACGAUCAGUAGGGGUUCUGAGAGGAAGGUCCCCCACAUUGGAACUGAGACACGGUCCAAACUCCUACGGGAGGCAGCAGUGAGGAAUAUUGGUCAAUGGGCGGAAGCCUGAACCAGCCAAGUAGCGUGCAGGAUGACGGCCCUAUGGGUUGUAAACUGCUUGGAUACAGGAAUAAAGUUAGCCACGUGUGGUUAUUUGUAGGUACUGUAUGAAUAAGGACCGGCUAAUUCCGUGCCAGCAGCCGCCGUAA
Molecule: ribosomal RNA, 506 nt
Filed under: uncultured bacterium
Lineage: Bacteria
Description: partial 16S ribosomal RNA
Rfam family: Bacterial small subunit ribosomal RNA
Source: RNAcentral